GGGUUGUGAGGUUAAGCGACUAAGCGUACACGGUGGAUGCCUAGGCAAUCAGAGGCGAUGAAGGACGUGCUAAUCUGCGAUAAGCGUCGGUAAGGUGAUAUGAACCGUUACAACCGACGAUUUCCGAAUGGGGAAACCCAGUGCAAUUCGUUGCACUAUCGUUUGAUGAAUACAUAGUCAAACGAAGCGAACCGGGGGAACUGAAACAUCUCAGUACCCCGAGGAAAAGAAAUCAACCGAGAUUCCCCUAGUAGCGGCGAGCGAACGGGGAGCAGCCCAGAGUCUUAAUCAGCAUUAGCAUCAGGAGAACGGUCUGGAAAGUCCGGCAGUAAAGGGUGAUAGCCCCGUAUCCGAAGGUGUUAGUGUUGUGAACUCGACGAGUAGGGCGGGACACGUGUUAUCCUGUCUGAAUAUGGGGGGACCAUCCUCCAAGGCUAAAUACUCCUGAUUGACCGAUAGUGAACCAGUACCGUGAGGGAAAGGCGAAAAGAAC
Molecule: ribosomal RNA, 493 nt
Filed under: Tepidimonas fonticaldi
Lineage: Bacteria; Pseudomonadati; Pseudomonadota; Betaproteobacteria; Burkholderiales
Description: bacterial LSU rRNA
Rfam family: Bacterial large subunit ribosomal RNA
Source: RNAcentral